Molecule: non-coding RNA, 36 nt
Filed under: Chryseobacterium populi
Lineage: Bacteria; Pseudomonadati; Bacteroidota; Flavobacteriia; Flavobacteriales; Weeksellaceae
Description: DUF805b RNA
Rfam family: DUF805b RNA
About the family: Bacteroidetes, Chlorobi (1 example), Proteobacteria. Lineage (Flavobacteria)
Source: RNAcentral
ACGGCGGAAUCCGAAAAGCCAUGAAAAGAGUAGGAA